GUGAAUCAUCGAAUCUUUGAACGCAAAUUGCACUCUCUGGCAUUCCGGUGAGUAUGCCUGUUUGAGGGCCAUUAUAACCAAAAUCGGAGCGAUGCUCUUUGGGUGACGCACCGGAUUUUGGGUCCUCUUAACUCUUUUUUUUAAGAGACCUAAAAUUUACUUUUUUUUUUCAUGACUUUUGCGACGAUCAAAUUUUUUUCUUAUU
This 205-nucleotide unclassified non-coding RNA is filed under the name Rhizophagus clarus. RNAcentral's name for it is "partial contains 5.8S ribosomal RNA and internal transcribed spacer 2". The stretch from base 1 to 71 matches the Rfam family "5.8S ribosomal RNA", at positions 84 to 154 of the family's 154-position model. Lineage: Eukaryota; Fungi; Glomeromycota; Glomeromycetes; Glomerales; Glomeraceae. The record is from RNAcentral.